RNAcentral lists this ribosomal RNA (332 nucleotides) under uncultured eukaryote. RNAcentral's name for it is "partial 18S ribosomal RNA". It matches the Rfam family "Eukaryotic small subunit ribosomal RNA", at positions 1470 to 1796 of the family's 1831-position model. The record is from RNAcentral.
CCCUUAGAUGUUCUGGGCUGCACACGUGCUACACUGGCAGGUUCAGCGAGCUUCAUGCCCUGAUCUGAAAGGAAUGGGAAAUCUUUUCAAAACCUGCCGUGCUUGGGAUAGAUGUUUGCAAUUAUUCAUCUUCAACGAGGAUUGCCUUGUAAGCGCACGUCAUCAGCGUGCAUUGAAUACGACCCUGUAUUCUGUACACACCGCCCGUCGCUCCUACCGAUUGAAGUUUUCGGUGAGGUGACAGGAGGAUUUUUUUGAAACUGGUUCGCCAGUGGAUUUUAGAUCCAAAUGCCAACGAAUCGAUGGCUUUAGAGGAAGGAGAAGUCGUAACA